GUCUCCGUAGUUCAAUGGAUAGAAUAAGAGUUUCCGAAGCUCUUGAUACAGGUUCGAUUCCUGUCGGAGACGCCA
This 75-nucleotide transfer RNA is filed under the name Advenella faeciporci. RNAcentral's name for it is "tRNA-Arg". It matches the Rfam family "tRNA". From Rfam's summary of the family: Transfer RNA (tRNA) molecules are approximately 80 nucleotides in length. Their secondary structure includes four short double-helical elements and three loops (D, anti-codon, and T loops). The record is from RNAcentral. Lineage: Bacteria; Pseudomonadati; Pseudomonadota; Betaproteobacteria; Burkholderiales; Alcaligenaceae. RNAcentral also lists the same sequence under 2 other names.